This 481-nucleotide ribosomal RNA is filed under the name uncultured bacterium. RNAcentral's name for it is "partial 16S ribosomal RNA". It matches the Rfam family "Bacterial small subunit ribosomal RNA", at positions 30 to 507 of the family's 1533-position model. The record is from RNAcentral.
UUGAACGCUGGCGGCAUGCUUUACACAUGCAAGUCGCACGGUAACAGGUCUUCGGAUGCUGACGAGUGGCGAACGGGUGAGUAAUACAUCGGAACGUGCCUAGUAGUGGGGGAUAACUACUCGAAAGAGUAGCUAAUACCGCAUGAGAUCUACGGAUGAAAGCAGGGGACCUUCGGGCCUUGUGCUACUAGAGCGGCUGAUGGCAGAUUAGGUAGUUGGUGGGGUAAAGGCUUACCAAGCCUGCGAUCUGUAGCUGGUCUGAGAGGACGACCAGCCACACUGGGACUGAGACACGGCCCAGACUCCUACGGGAGGCAGCAGUGGGGAAUUUUGGACAAUGGGCGAAAGCCUGAUCCAGCAAUGCCGCGUGCAGGAUGAAGGCCCUCGGGUUGUAAACUGCUUUUGUACGGAACGAAAAGCCUGGGGCUAAUAUCCCCGGGUCAUGACGGUACCGUAAGAAUAAGCACCGGCUAACUACGUG